This 994-nucleotide ribosomal RNA is filed under the name Siminovitchia farraginis. Its description in RNAcentral is "bacterial SSU rRNA". It matches the Rfam family "Bacterial small subunit ribosomal RNA", at positions 474 to 1471 of the family's 1533-position model. The record is from RNAcentral. Lineage: Bacteria; Bacillati; Bacillota; Bacilli; Caryophanales; Bacillaceae.
GGUCCUACCCGGAAACCCCGGGUUAAUUACGUCCCAGCAGCCGCGGUAAUACGUAGGUGGCAAGCGUUGUCCGGAAUUAUUGGGCGUAAAGCGCGCGCAGGCGGUUUCUUAAGUCUGAUGUGAAAUCUUGCGGCUCAACCGCAAGCGGCCAUUGGAAACUGGGAGACUUGAGUGCAGAAGAGGAGAGUGGAAUUCCACGUGUAGCGGUGAAAUGCGUAGAGAUGUGGAGGAACACCAGUGGCGAAGGCGACUCUCUGGUCUGUAACUGACGCUGAGGCGCGAAAGCGUGGGGAGCGAACAGGAUUAGAUACCCUGGUAGUCCACGCCGUAAACGAUGAGUGCUAAGUGUUAGAGGGUUUCCGCCCUUUAGUGCUGCAGCUAACGCAUUAAGCACUCCGCCUGGGGAGUACGGCCGCAAGGCUGAAACUCAAAGGAAUUGACGGGGGCCCGCACAAGCGGUGGAGCAUGUGGUUUAAUUCGAAGCAACGCGAAGAACCUUACCAGGUCUUGACAUCCUCUUGACCUCCCUAGAGAUAGGGAUUUCCCUUCGGGGACAGGAGUGACAGGUGGUGCAUGGUUGUCGUCAGCUCGUGUCGUGAGAUGUUGGGUUAAGUCCCGCAACGAGCGCAACCCUUGACCUUAGUUGCCAGCAUUCAGUUGGGCACUCUAAGGUGACUGCCGGUGACAAACCGGAGGAAGGUGGGGAUGACGUCAAAUCAUCAUGCCCCUUAUGACCUGGGCUACACACGUGCUACAAUGGAUGGUACAAAGGGCUGCAAGACCGCGAGGUUUAGCCAAUCCCAUAAAACCAUUCUCAGUUCGGAUUGUAGGCUGCAACUCGCCUACAUGAAGCCGGAAUCGCUAGUAAUCGCGGAUCAGCAUGCCGCGGUGAAUACGUUCCCGGGCCUUGUACACACCGCCCGUCACACCACGAGAGUUUGUAACACCCGAAGUCGGUGAGGUAACCUUUGGAGCCAGCCGCCGAAGGUACAGA